AAUAAAAUUAUUUAUGGUUUAAAAAUUUAUUAUAAAUUUAUUUUACAUAUAAAUUUUAGUGUUAAUUUUUAAUUUAUUUAAAUAAUAAUUAAUAUUUAUUUGUAGUAAUUAGAAUUAAAAAUUUAAGUAAUUAAGAUUUAGUAAUAUUUAAAUUAAUAACAAAUUUUGUGCCAGCAGUUGCGGUUAUACAAAAAUUAAAUUAAAUUUUUUUAGGGAUUAUUUAAUAAUAGAUUAUAUAAUAAAAUUAAAAUUUAAAUUAUUAAGUGAAAUUUUAAUUUAUGAAAAUUUUAUAUUGAAUUAUGAAUUAAAAAAUUUUAUUAAAAACUAGGAUUAGAUACCCUAUUAUUAAAAAUUUAAAUUAAUAAUACUAAAAUAGUAUAUAAUUAUUUAUAAAAACUUAAAUAAUUUGGCGGUAUUUUAGUUUAUUUAGAGGAAUCUGUUUAUUAAUUGAUAUUCCACGAAUAAAUUUACUUAAUUUAUUUAAUUUUGUAUAUCGUUGUUAAAAAAAUAUUUUAAAAUAAUAAUAAUAUUUUAAUUUUUAUAUUAAAAGUUAAAUCAGAUCAAGAUGCAGAUUAUAAUUAAGAAUAUAAUGGAUUACAAUAAAUUUAUUUAAUUGGAUGUUAUUUUUAAAAAUUAAUUGAAAUUGGAUUUAAAUGUAAUUUUAUUUAAUUUAUUAAAAUGAUUUUAAUUUAAAAUAUGUACAUAUUGCCCGUCGCUUUCAUUAAUAAAUUGAAAUAAGUCGUAACAAAGUAGAGGUACUGGAAAGUGUUUCUAGAAAGAGUA
Molecule: non-coding RNA, 783 nt
Filed under: Bombyx mori (domestic silkworm)
Lineage: Eukaryota; Metazoa; Arthropoda; Insecta; Lepidoptera; Bombycidae
Source: RNAcentral